GGAAAAUCGAUGACAAAGAGUAGUACAUUUGAAUUUCGUGCAUAGAGAAUCUGUGGUUGGUGAAAACAGAGGACGAAACAAAUGGAAUGGACUUUGGAGUAGCUUUAUGAACGUUAGUAGUAAAGCUCGUUAGCUUCACGUUACGAAGUCUAAGUGGUCGAGCAAUCGACAAGCUGGGUGGUACCGCGGAUUUUAAACAUCAUUCGUCCCAUUA
RNAcentral lists this non-coding RNA (214 nucleotides) under Ureibacillus manganicus. RNAcentral describes it as "Lysinibacillus manganicus T-box sequence". It matches the Rfam family "T-box leader". Rfam says of the family: Uncharged tRNA acts as the effector for transcription antitermination of genes in the T-box leader family. T-boxes are found upstream of many aminoacyl-tRNA synthetase genes and some amino acid biosynthetic genes usually in Gram-positive bacteria. The anticodon of a specific tRNA base pairs to a specifier sequence within the T-box motif, and the NCCA acceptor tail of the tRNA base pairs to a conserved bulge in the T-box antiterminator hairpin. Lineage: Bacteria; Bacillati; Bacillota; Bacilli; Caryophanales; Caryophanaceae. The record is from RNAcentral.